Molecule: ribosomal RNA, 433 nt
Filed under: uncultured bacterium
Lineage: Bacteria
Description: bacterial SSU rRNA
Rfam family: Bacterial small subunit ribosomal RNA
Source: RNAcentral
UGGGGAAUCUUGCGCAAUGGCCGAAAGGCUGACGCAGCGACGCCGCGUGUGGGAGGAAGCUCUUCGGGGUGUAAACCACUGUUGCCCGGGACGAACGAUGAGCAUUGGCUCAUGUGACGGUACCGGGUGAGGAAGCACCGGCUAACUCUGUGCCAGCAGCCGCGGUAAUACAGAGGGUGCGAGCGUUGUCCGGAAUCACUGGGCGUAAAGGGCGCGUAGGCGGCUCGGUAAGCGUGCGGUGAAAGCCCGGGGCUCAACCCCGGGUCGGCCGUGCGAACUGCAGAGCUGGAGCACUGUAGAGGCAGGUGGAAUUCCGGGUGUAGCGGUGGAAUGCGUAGAGAUCCGGAAGAACACCGGUGGCGAAGGCGGCCUGCUGGGCAGUAGCUGACGCUGAUGCGCGACAGCGUGGGGGAGCAAACAGGGAUUAGAUACC